ACUUCUUCUAUUGCAUAAUGGCACAAAAAGUCAUCCAGAAGUCCAUGUGAAACAGGAAGGUUAGAUCCCAAUAAAUUCCAGAAAUUCCUUUUUAAAUAUCUACAGAGGGGACAGCUAGGUGGCUCUUUGGAUUGAAAGCCAGACUAGAAACAAGAGGUCCUGGGUUCAAAUUUGGCCUCAGAUGCUGCCGAGCUGUAUGACUCUGAGAAAGUCACUUAACCCCCAUUGCCUACCCCUUGCCACUCUUCUGCCUUGGAACCAAUACACAACGUUGGUUCUAAAAUGGAAGGUAAAGGUUAUUUUAAAAAACAAACAAACCACAGAUUAUUUUAAAGGAAUAAUGGUGAAACAUACUACGCCCUUCUUCUCCAGAAGUGAUGAACUCAGAGUACAGAUUGAAACACAUUUUUUUAGACAUGACUACAUUUGGAAAUCUGUAGAAAUUUGUUUUACUUGACUGCCUAUUUGUUACUAAGGUUUUUGUUUUUCUUUUUCUUAUGGAAGGGAGAGGGGGCACGAGAGGGAAAACUGAUUUUUGUUAAAUGAAAGGUUCAAGAGAAGAGGGCUCAGAACUGAAUUGAGCUUACCAAGGGGGCAAGACUGGGAAGGGAAGAGAGUGCAGCUAUUGCAGGAGAAGAGCUGAGGUUGAACUAAGGAAGAACUAAGAGGUUGAGGGAUUAGAGAACAUGAGAUGAACAAAGAACAGGCUUUGAUGCAGCAAAGCAGGGGGGAGAGGUGGAAUGACAAUUGACUGUGACCACUACACUAGAGAGGGGAAUUGGUAAGAUAUAAUUGGGCAAAUCAGAAGAUAUCACACCAGGAAGUAGUUGAAUGAAAGAAGCUAAAUCCCAAGCUCCCCCCCCCCCCACUUCCUGUUCUUUCUCACCAAGUAACCUAAUGGAGGUUUUUUUCACAUAUGGGAAAAGCUCAAAUAACCUGAGAAUGAUUGUUUCAAGCCUGCCAAAGUCAAGACUGGAAUGUUUACAGAAGAAAUAGCUUUCUCCCACUUCUAAUAAAGGAGAGAUUGGAAUCCAACCAACUCAGGGUGUCCUCAUGCCAUCUAGAAAGAACUAGCUACUUCCGGAACAUAAUUGUAUACAGGAAACACAACUCUGAAAUCAACAAGGAGAUGUCACGCCUUACAGCUGGCUUGUCCUAGUUAGGACGCUGAAGUGGUGACCACAAAUUCAGAAAAGCACAAAUAAAAGCUUCGGCCAUCCAGGAAUCAAUCCAGGACUGCGGAGACGGUCGAGUUUUGUGGCAACAAGAUUCACUUCAAAAACCGACCCACAAGCCAACAACAAGACCAAGAUAUCACUUCAGGACCAAGGCCAAGGCCCGGCCUGAUCUGGUGUAUGUACAAUGGGAUACACUUUCCUCUGCUUUGUUUCAUUCCAGAGCGGAUACAUUGGUUUGCUCUCCACCAGUCUUUCCUCUGGUUUUUUGGGAGAAGAAUUCCUUGUCGUUUAGUGCUAGAUACAAGACCAGAUCAGAAACUCAACUAAGAAUUUACAAAAGAAGUCUGGAAGACACUCAAGUCAACACAAACUACAGACAGUCAACAAAUACUCCAGACACACGUCUAGCGCUGAAGAUCUCUCCAUAAGGAGCACACAAGGACUGUGGUUUUUACAAUCUCUUCCAGGUGCCCCUCUUUAGGAGCUUGGAAAGGUCUCUGAGACAGGGAUCUAUGGGCGUUGGGUUAUCCAGUCCAUUCUGGGUCCUCAUCAUUUUCACAGGAAUUUUCUUCCCCAUUCAAUUAGCUAAAGUCAGUAAUAGCUGGAAGGAAUCAGGAGACAGCAUUUGAUGGAGAAUGUGUCAUUCACCACUCAGCAAAAAAAAAAUUAUAAAUGGUAUGAAACAAAGAAAAAAAAGAUGGAUAUUCAGUUAAAAAGAUGGCUAUGGCAGGUGGCCGUAUAAGAAAACUAGUCGACUUGCUAAAGGAAAUUGUAUCCCACUUGCUACAGAAAACAGAUAAAGAGUAAUUUUCUUGGUUCAUUUUUUUAAACCCUUACCUUCCAUCUUGGAAUGGAUACUGCUUCCUUACUGAAGACAACUCUGCAUUUUCUUCUCCAUGUUCUUGGGGCAAACGCAUUCUUUCUAACUUUCCCAGCGUCCUUCACUCCCUCCCCUCCCAGCGUCCUUCACUCCCUCCCCUCCCUUCCUCCUCCAUUAACAGGGCCACGUACCAGCUAUUCAGCCAAGCGUGCCAAGCUCCCAGAGGCUUUCCCCAUUCUCCUGGGCCUGCUACCUCUCCUCUUUUGUCUUUGUCAUUCCUGGGUCAAGCAGAGUGGAGCAGAGGCACUGAAAGACACUGAAUGCAUCAGGCCCAACUGGAGCUAUUUCUUCCCAAGCCUUUUGUGCUGAGCCCACAGUGCUCCUCCCUCCCCACUUCGAGGCCCGGCUCACAUCUGAGCUUUUAAACAAUUCAAAGUGAAUAAAUAUGCAAGUAAAGUAUUGAACAU
Long non-coding RNA from Monodelphis domestica (gray short-tailed opossum), 2465 nucleotides. RefSeq lists it as uncharacterized. Lineage: Eukaryota; Metazoa; Chordata; Mammalia; Didelphimorphia; Didelphidae. The record is from RefSeq and is a predicted model, not a curated record.